This 82-nucleotide transfer RNA is filed under the name Methanobrevibacter sp. Its description in RNAcentral is "tRNA-Leu". It matches the Rfam family "tRNA". Rfam says of the family: Transfer RNA (tRNA) molecules are approximately 80 nucleotides in length. Their secondary structure includes four short double-helical elements and three loops (D, anti-codon, and T loops). Lineage: Archaea; Methanobacteriati; Methanobacteriota; Methanobacteria; Methanobacteriales; Methanobacteriaceae. The record is from RNAcentral. RNAcentral also lists the same sequence under 1 other name.
AGAGACAUAGCGAAGCGGUCAAACGCGGCAGACUCAAGAUCUGUUGAUUAGUUCUUCAGGGGUUCGAAUCCCCUUGUCUCUA